GGAGCAGCCCUUAGUAUGAAGUUUGAAUAAUUCGGAAAAAUAUUUAGGUCUCCCAACUAUGAUUGGAAGAUGGAAAAAAAAAGCUUUCGUUAAUUUCAAAGAUAGGUUCGCAAAAAAUAUUAGAAAAUUGGAGUAUCCAGUACCUAUUGCUUGGAGGUAAAGAAGUUUUCAUUAAGUCAGUUUUACAAGCCAUACCAAUUUAUUCUAGGCAAAUUUUUUUGUUACCCUUAACUUUAUGUCGCGAGCUUGAAAAAAAAUUAGUAAGUUUUGGUGGAGAAACCCCAAAACAGGGAAAGGGAUACAUUGGUACGAGUGGAAGAGCCUAUGCAGGCCGAAAGCGCAGGGUGGUUUAGGAUUUAGAGACUUAGUUAAAUUUAAUAUUACUUUGCUCGCUAAAUAGGGUUGAAAAUUAAUCAUGUACCUAGAUUGUUUACUUGCUAGAGCCAUGAAAGCUAAAUGUUACCAAAAUAGUGAAUUUUUAAAAGCAGUUUUAGGAUCUCACCCAUCAUAUACCUGGAGAAGCAUUUGGAGUGUGAGAGGCCUUUUAGAAGAAGGUAUGGGUUGGAGGGUAGGUAAUGGCAAGUCCAUCCUCAUCUAGAAUGAGGAAUGGCUUCCGGGACCUAGGCAAGGGAAAAGUACUGAUCAAGACAUUAAUGUUAACUUUACAACAAUAACAGAUUUGAUCAAUUCAGACCAUUCUACCUGGAGGUUGGAAGUCCUCGAGAAGCUAUUCGACGAAGACCAGAAAAAUAGGAUAAUGACCAUCCUAGUUGUAGGUGUCGAUAUCAUGGACGUUAGAGUUUGGAAGGGGGACAAUACAAGUGAGUACACAGCAAAAAAUAGGUACAAAUGGUUACUUACAGAAGAUACAACAACAAGGGAUGCAACGCUAUCACAAACAACUCUAUAUAAUUUUUACAACAGACUAUGGAAUUUACAACUGACAAGCAAGAUUAAAUUUACAUUAUGGAAAGUAAUAAACAAUUACAUUCCUACUUUCAACAAUUUACAAGCCAGAAGGCUAAUGGUGACGACUAUUAGUCUUUUUUGUUGAUCAAUGAAGGAUUUAGUGAAUUAUAUUUUCUGGGAAUGUCUGAUUUCCAAAAGCAUUCUGCAAGAGGUGGGGAUAGAAACCUCUCCUAACACCCAUGGCCAAAACUGGAAAAUCUGGUUAGCAAAUGUUUUCACCAACAUGGAAGAAGAACAAAGAGAAUAUUUAGCUAUUGCUUUAUGGGUGAUUUGGUAGAAAAGAAAUAAAAUCCACCAUCAGGGCGAAAAGAUGAAUACAGACAGGGUAAUAACAUUUAUCAAAGCAUACAAGGCAGAGAGUACCAGUACAGUAAAAGAAAUAGCAACAUCUGCAGGGUUAUAUAACAGUAUGUGGUCACCACCAAGAGCAAACACGAUCAAAUGCAAUUUUGACGCAGCUUACAACAAUUAUUUGCUUAAAUUAGUUAUGGGAAUCAUGUUCAGAGAUAGUGAAGGACUUAUUUUGGCACUGUGUACUUACCACAACCCCUUUAACACAGACACUACCACGAUGGAAGUGAAAACAUGCCUCCAAGCAGUGACGGUGGCUGAGGCUCCAAGCAGUGACGGUGGCUGAGGAGUUGGGCUUUUGAAAUCUGACAGUAGAAGGGGAUUCUUUGACUGUAAUAAAAAAAAUUGAGCAUCAAAGUUGGAUAAAUCGAACAUAGUAGUGAUAGUUCAUAAAAUAAAAGAAAGAACGCGCAGAUUUGAAACUUUUACAUGCUCUUUCGUGGGACGAUCAGCGAACCAGGCAACGCAUGAGAUGGUUGAAAAAGGCAAGAAAUGGCCAGAUCAAAGGGUAUGGAUUGAGGAGGCCCCUCACAGGGUGGAAAUGAUACUCAGAAAGGAUAGAAGGCCACUGAACGACGGAUGGAAUGGAUCGGAGGAAUAAAUCAUUUAAAAACUCUGACGGUUUCUACUUCGACAAGGACCUAUCGCGGACGAUUUUGGUAUAGACCGACAAAAGAUGGAAUGAUGGUGGUAGACGAGAAGUGUUGAUCAGGCAUUUAAAUUGCGGUCGCGGUCGUGUUUUCGGUCGCGUUGCAUUUAUUGCGAUUACGAACAUAACGGAUGCUAUUGCAGUCAUUGCGGGUAUCGCGGUCGUGAAUUUUAAAAAAAAAUUCACAAAACUUAUUAUAAAAUAUAAUAGCAGUUUUCGCAGUAACGGUUUCGGAUAGUGCCGAUACCGCUAUAUAACGGUCACUAUUUCGAUAACGGACUGCUAUUUAAAUCCCUGGUGUUGAUUACAAGACAAGUGAAGCUACUGGGUUUUCUCAGAUUUUUGGAGUAAUUUGGGUUUAGUCUCGAUGUUUAUUUUACUGUUUUGAUUUUUC
RNAcentral lists this long non-coding RNA (2363 nucleotides) under Gossypium barbadense (sea-island cotton). Its description in RNAcentral is "long non-coding RNA (GBAR_LNC014959)". Lineage: Eukaryota; Viridiplantae; Streptophyta; Magnoliopsida; Malvales; Malvaceae. The record is from RNAcentral.